GACGAACGCUGGCAGCGUGCCUAAUACAUGCAAGUAGAACGCUGAAGGAGGAGCUUGCUUCUCUGGAUGAGUUGCGAACGGGUGAGUAACGCGUAGGUAACCUGCCUGGUAGCGGGGGAUAACUAUUGGAAACGAUAGCUAAUACCGCAUAAUAGUAGAUGUUGCAUGACAUUUGCUUAAAAGGUGCAAUUGCAUCACUACCAGAUGGACCUGCGUUGUAUUAGCUAGUUGGUGGGGUAACGGCUCACCAAGGCGACGAUACAUAGCCGACCUGAGAGGGUGAUCGGCCACACUGGGACUGAGACACGGCCCAGACUCCUACGGGAGGCAGCAGUAGGGAAUCUUCGGCAAUGGACGGAAGUCUGACCGAGCAACGCCGCGUGAGUGAAGAAGGUUUUCGGAUCGUAAAGCUCUGUUGUAAGAGAAGAACGAGUGUGAGAGUGGAAAGUUCACACUGUGACGGUAUCUUACCAGAAAGGGACGGCUAACUACGUG
Molecule: ribosomal RNA, 495 nt
Filed under: uncultured bacterium
Lineage: Bacteria
Description: partial 16S ribosomal RNA
Rfam family: Bacterial small subunit ribosomal RNA
Source: RNAcentral